GAGAAGAUGACUGUAGUAGCACCUGUAUCCCCUCAGAUCAAGAGCAAAUGUGGUUCACAGCAGAAACCUAAUGAGGGAACAGAGAGGCUGACCAUCUGCAAUUCGGUGUCUUUACCAUUUCUAUAAAUGAUCUGGAUGCAGCACUUGAAGUCAUACCAAGUAAGUCUGCAGAUAUUAAAUUAGGAGGAGCUGCCUACUUCCUGAAGGGUGGUGAGGUCUUGCACAGAGACCUUGACUGACUAGAGCAGUCACCAAUUGAAUGAAGUGUAAUAAGAGCAAGUGCUGGAUUCUGCACUUGGGACAGGGCAACUUUGGAUAUGUGUCCUGACUGAGGCACGAGAGUCUGGAGAGCAACUCCAAAGAAGGGGAUCUAGGGGCUCUGGUUG
Molecule: long non-coding RNA, 386 nt
Filed under: Gallus gallus (chicken)
Lineage: Eukaryota; Metazoa; Chordata; Aves; Galliformes; Phasianidae
Source: RNAcentral